This is a long non-coding RNA of Pseudophryne corroboree (corroboree frog), 966 nucleotides long. RefSeq lists it as uncharacterized. The transcript has 4 exons. The record is from RefSeq and is a predicted model, not a curated record. NCBI's taxonomy places the organism in Eukaryota, Metazoa, Chordata, Amphibia, Anura, Myobatrachidae.
AGGCUUUUUCAACAAAUACAAAUUUCCCAAUGUGCUGGGCGCGAUUGACUGUACCCACGUGCAGAUCAGACCGCCACGGAAUUCAGAGGAAUGUUUUCGGAACCGAAAACAGUUCCAUUCCCUGAACGUGCAAGCGGUCUGUGAUGUAAACAUGAGAUUUUUGAACAUUUUUGUGGGAUUUCCUGGAUCAUCUCACGACUCCUUCAUCCUAAGCCAGUCAUCGCUGUUUGACAAGUUUGAAACAGGAAACAUGCCUGGUGGCUGGCUGUUAGGCGAUGCGGGUUAUCCAAACAAACCGUGGCUGUUGACCCCAUUGUCUAAUCCUGUUGGUAGAGCAGAAAAACGUUACCAAGAGACACACAUUGCAUCGAGGGGAGUAAUUGAGCGUGCCUUCGGUGUACUUAAAAGCCGGUUUCGAUGUUUAGACACUUCCGGCGGUGCUCUUUUGUACUCACCGUCGAAGGUUUGCGGCAUGGUAAAUGCAUGUUGUAUUUUACACAACAUAUGUGUCGCAAACCGUUUGCCGGUGACGCUUCGUCGCAGUGCUUUCCGACGCGGGAACCGGUCUUCUGCUCUACCGGUGGGUAUGGACGAAGGAGAGGAUUCCCGGCGGACAUUGAUCCAAAAUUAUUUUGCAGUUGCCUAGUUUUACAUCCUGUUGAUGUAUAUCCCCAGGCCAUGUUUGUACAGUUCGUUACCCCGUUUUAUCCUGUUGUUGGGUUCCCGCAAAUAUUUGAUCCUUUUAUCCAACUCUACCAUGGGUGAACCUACUGGUGAUGUGGACCUGACCCUCCGCCAUGUAGCAGACAACCCCCCCUCAGGUCUUCCGGUGUAUCCUUCCUAAGUGGUGUGGAUGUGAAGAGACAGUUCCCUUGAUGUUCCCUGGGCAAUCUACUUACGUACAAUUCAAAUGCAUUACAAAUUUUAAUAAAAACCACAGGAAACUUCUAUUUUUAAAAGUUUAUU